RNAcentral lists this ribosomal RNA (1317 nucleotides) under Ligilactobacillus salivarius. RNAcentral's name for it is "bacterial SSU rRNA". It matches the Rfam family "Bacterial small subunit ribosomal RNA", at positions 49 to 1284 of the family's 1533-position model. Lineage: Bacteria; Bacillati; Bacillota; Bacilli; Lactobacillales; Lactobacillaceae. The record is from RNAcentral.
CUAUACAUGCAAGUCGAACGAAACUUUCUUACACCGAAUGCUUGCAUUCACCGUAAGAAGUUGAGUGGCGGACGGGUGAGUAACACGUGGGUAACCUGCCUAAAAGAAGGGGAUAACACUUGGAAACAGGUGCUAAUACCGUAUAUCUCUAAGGAUCGCAUGAUCCUUAGAUGAAAGAUGGUUCUGCUAUCGCUUUUAGAUGGACCCGCGGCGUAUUAACUAGUUGGUGGGGUAACGGCCUACCAAGGUGAUGAUACGUAGCCGAACUGAGAGGUUGAUCGGCCACAUUGGGACUGAGACACGGCCCAAACUCCUACGGGAGGCAGCAGUAGGGAAUCUUCCACAAUGGACGCAAGUCUGAUGGAGCAACGCCGCGUGAGUGAAGAAGGUCUUCGGAUCGUAAAACUCUGUUGUUAGAGAAGAACACGAGUGAGAGUAACUGUUCAUUCGAUGACGGUAUCUAACCAGCAAGUCACGGCUAACUACGUGCCAGCAGCCGCGGUAAUACGUAGGUGGCAAGCGUUGUCCGGAUUUAUUGGGCGUAAAGGGAACGCAGGCGGUCUUUUAAGUCUGAUGUGAAAGCCUUCGGCUUAACCGGAGUAGUGCAUUGGAAACUGGAAGACUUGAGUGCAGAAGAGGAGAGUGGAACUCCAUGUGUAGCGGUGAAAUGCGUAGAUAUAUGGAAGAACACCAGUGGCGAAAGCGGCUCUCUGGUCUGUAACUGACGCUGAGGUUCGAAAGCGUGGGUAGCAAACAGGAUUAGAUACCCUGGUAGUCCACGCCGUAAACGAUGAAUGCUAGGUGUUGGAGGGUUUCCGCCCUUCAGUGCCGCAGCUAACGCAAUAAGCAUUCCGCCUGGGGAGUACGACCGCAAGGUUGAAACUCAAAGGAAUUGACGGGGGCCCGCACAAGCGGUGGAGCAUGUGGUUUAAUUCGAAGCAACGCGAAGAACCUUACCAGGUCUUGACAUCCUUUGACCACCUAAGAGAUUAGGUUUUCCCUUCGGGGACAAGUGACAGGUGGUGCAUGGCUGUCGUCAGCUCGUGUCGUGAGAUGUUGGGUUAAGUCCCGCAACGAGCGCAACCUUGUUGUCAGUUGCCAGCAUUAAGUUGGGCACUCUGGCGAGACUGCCGGUGACAACCGGAGAAGUGGGGACAACUUCAGUCAUCAGCCCCUAUGACCGGGGCACCACGUGCUACAUGGACGUACACAAUCCCGGAACCGCGGGUUACUAUCUUUAAACCUUUUAAUUCGAAUGAGGCGGACUCCCCACUAAAUCGAAUCCUGUAUCCGAAUAACAGUCCCGGGAAAAAUUCC